UGAGCAAUCUGCCCUUCUCAUCGGAAUAACCAUUGGAAACGAUGGCUAAUGCCGAAUAUGACCUCGGAUCACAUGUUCUGAGGUGGAAAGCUCCGGCGGAGAAGGAUGAGCUCGCGGCCUAUCAGCUUGUUGGUGAGGUAAUGGCUCACCAAGGCAUUGACGGGUAGCCGGCCUGAGAGGGUGACCCGGCCACACUGGGACUGAGACACGGCAGA
Molecule: ribosomal RNA, 215 nt
Filed under: uncultured bacterium
Lineage: Bacteria
Description: partial 16S ribosomal RNA
Rfam family: Bacterial small subunit ribosomal RNA
Source: RNAcentral